RNAcentral lists this non-coding RNA (29 nucleotides) under Mus musculus (house mouse). The record is from RNAcentral. Lineage: Eukaryota; Metazoa; Chordata; Mammalia; Rodentia; Muridae.
UAUGGCACUAGUCUCAUAUCAUUCUGGUC